RNAcentral lists this ribosomal RNA (1473 nucleotides) under metagenome. Its description in RNAcentral is "bacterial SSU rRNA". It matches the Rfam family "Bacterial small subunit ribosomal RNA". The record is from RNAcentral.
AGAGUUUGAUCCUGGCUCAGAUUGAACGCUGGCGGCAUGGCUAAAACAUGCAAGUCGAACGAGAAUCCAGUAGCAAUAUUGGUAGUAAAGUGGCGAACGGGCGAGUAAUGCAUUUCUAACGUACCCCAAGGUCAGGGAUAGCUCGGUGGAAACCGUGGUAAUACCUGAUAACCUCCGCGAACCGCAUGGUUUGCGGUGCAAUGGCUUGCUGCCUUGGGAUCGGGAAAUGUCCUAUCAGGUAGUUGGUGAGGUAACGGCCCACCAAGCCUAAGACGGGUAGCGGGUGUGAGAGCACGACCCGCCGCAUCGGGACUGAGACACUGCCCGGACUCCUACGGGAGGCUGCAGUAACGAAUCUUCCGCAAUGGGCGCAAGCCUGACGGAGCAAUGCCGCGUGCAGGAGAAGCCCCUCGGGGUGUAAACUGCUGUCAGGGAUUAGCAACACAAAUGAGCAAUCCCAGAGGAAGGGCCGGCUAACUCUGUGCCAGCAGCCGCGGUAAGACAGAGGGCCCGAGCGUUAAUCGGAAUCACUGGGCUUAAAGGGUGCGUAGGCGGGACCGUAAGUGUUCUGUGAAAUCCCACAGCUCAACUGUGGAACGGCAGGGCAUACUGCGGUUCUAGAGGCCAGUAGAGGUUGCCGGAACUCUAGGUGUAGCGGUGAAAUGCGUAGAUAUCUAGAGAACGCCAAUGGUGAAGACAGGCAACUGGGCUGGUUCUGACGCUGAGGCACGAAAGCGUGGGGAGCAAACAGGAUUAGAUACCCUGGUAGUCCACGCCGUAAACGAUGUGCACUAGAUACGGGAGGCUCUGACGCCCUCCGUGUGUAAAGCAAAAGCAUUAAGUGCACCGCCUGGGGAGUACGGUCGCAAGGCUAAAACUCAAAGGAAUUGACGGGGGCUCACACAAGCGGUGGAACAUGUUGCUUAAUUCGAGGCAACGCGAAGAACCUUAUCCUAGACUUGACAUGCUUGGAUUAGCUACUUGAAAGAGUAGUAACACCCGCAAGGGCGGAACUUGCACAGGUGCUGCAUGGCUGUCGUCAGCUCGUGCUGUGAAGUGUCGGGUUAAGUCCCUUAACGAGCGAAACCCCUGUCGCUAGUUGCCAUCAGGUAAUGCUGGGAACUCUAGCGAGACUGCCGGUGUCAAACCGGAGGAAGGUGGGGAUGACGUCAAGUCCUCAUGGCCUUUAUGUCUAGGGCUGCAAACGUGUUACAAUGGCGCGUACAAUGCGAAGCAAUAUCGCGAGAUGGAGCAAACCGCAAAAAACGCGCCCCAGUUCAGAUCGCAGUCUGCAACUCGACUGCGUGAAGUCGGAAUCGCUAGUAAUCGGAGAUCAGCUACGCUCCGGUGAAUAUGUUCCUGAGCCUUUACACACCGCCCGUCAACUCAUGGAAGCCGGAGGCACCCGAAGUCGGUCUGUCUCAAGACUGCCAACGGUGAAUUCGGUGACUGGGAGUAAGUCGUAACAAGGUA